Molecule: ribosomal RNA, 821 nt
Filed under: uncultured archaeon
Lineage: Archaea
Description: bacterial SSU rRNA
Rfam family: Archaeal small subunit ribosomal RNA
Source: RNAcentral
GCCCUUACUGCUCAGUAACACGUAGUCAACCUGCCCUCGGGUCGAGAACAAUCUCGGGAAACUGAGGCUAAUUCUCGAUAGGUCAAGAUUCCUGGAAUGGGUUUUGGCCCAAAUGGUGUAACAGCAUCUUGUUAUGUUCGCCCGAGGAUGGGACUGCGGCCGAUCAGGCUGUUGGUGAGGUAAAGGCUCACCAAACCAGUAACCGGUACGGGCUUUGAGAGAAGGAGCCCGGAGAUGGACACUGAGACAAGGGUCCAGGUCCUACGGGGCGCAGCAGGCGCGAAACCUUCGCAAUGCGCGCAAGCGCGACGAGGUUAUUCCGAGUGAUUUCCGCUGAGGAAAUCUUUUCUCAGAUCUAAAAUGUCUGGGGAAUAAGGGGAGGGCAAGUCUGGUGUCAGCCGCCGCGGUAAUACCAGCUCCUCGAGUGGUCAGGGCGUUUAUUGGGCCUAAAGCAUCCGUAGCCGGCUCAGUAGGUCUUCUGUUAAAUCCAACGGCUCAACCGUUGGUCUGCAGGAGAUACCACUGGGCUAGGAGGCGGGAGAGGCGGACGGUACUCCGAGGGUAGGGGUAAAAUCCUUUGAUCCCCGGAAGACCACCAGUGGCGAAGGCGGUCCGCCAGAACGCGCUCGACGGUGAGGGAUGAAAGCUGGGGGAGCGAACCGGAUUAGAUACCCGGGUAGUCCCAGCUGUAAACGAUGCGAGCUAGGUGACACAAGGCCUUCGGGGCCUCGUGGUGCCGCAGGGAAGCCGUUAAGCUCGCCGCCUGGGGAGUACGGACGCAAGUCUGAAACUUAAAGGAAUUGGCGGGGGAGCACAAGGGC